UCCAGACUCCUACGGGAGGCAGCAGUGAGGAAUAUUGGUCAAUGGGCGCAGGCCUGAACCAGCCAAGUCGCGUGAGGGAAGACUGCCCUAUGGGUUGUAAACCUCUUUUAUAAGGGAAGAAUAAUGACUACGUGUAGUCAGAUGCCCGUACCUUAUGAAUAAGCAUCGGCUAACUCCGUGCCAGCAGCCGCGGUAAUACGGAGGAUGCGAGCGUUAUCCGGAUUUAUUGGGUUUAAAGGGUGCGUAGGCGGAUUUUUAAGUCAGCGGUAAAAUGUCCGGGCUCAACCCGGGCCGGCCGUUGAAACUGGGGAUCUUGAGUGGGCGAGAAGUAUGCGGAAUGCGUGGUGUAGCGGUGAAAUGCAUAGAUAUAACUUAGAACUCCGAUAGCGAAGGCAGCUUACCAGACUGCGACUGACGCUGAAGCACGAGAGCGUGGGUAGCGAACAGGAUUAGAUACCCGCGUA
RNAcentral lists this ribosomal RNA (464 nucleotides) under uncultured bacterium. RNAcentral's name for it is "partial 16S ribosomal RNA". It matches the Rfam family "Bacterial small subunit ribosomal RNA", at positions 330 to 792 of the family's 1533-position model. The record is from RNAcentral.